UACGUAGGGGGCAAGCGUUGUCCGGAUUUAUUGGGCGUAAAGAGCGUGUAGGCGGCCAGACAGGUCCGUUGUGAAAACUCGAGGCUCAACCUCGAGACGCCGAUGGAAACCGUCUGGCUAGAGUCCGGAAGAGGAGAGUGGAAUUCCUGGUGUAGCGGUGAAAUGCGCAGAUAUCAGGAAGAACACCCGUGACUAAGGCGGCUCUCUAGUACGGUACUGACGCUGAGACGCGAAAGCGUGGGGAGCGAACAGG
Molecule: ribosomal RNA, 253 nt
Filed under: uncultured bacterium
Lineage: Bacteria
Description: partial 16S ribosomal RNA
Rfam family: Bacterial small subunit ribosomal RNA
Source: RNAcentral